GCUGCUUUGAUCUUGUGUGUACAUUAGAUGACUGCCAGGGGCAUGAAGGGGAUGUGCUUCCAGGGCAUUUGCUGGCAGGGCGUCUCGUGAUCUCUUGGUAUUGGUGUGAGCACAGCCUGGCAGGAGAGGGCAGAUCUCCAUGCAAAGUAUGUCAGAAAGCAGAUGGAAGCCAGGCCCCCUCCUGAAAGAGGCUCCUUGAAGAUAAUUCUAACAUCUUUGUCAUCAGUGUUGACAUCUCUUGAUUGUAUCCUGUCAUUCCAUUUGAGAUCUUCCUGGUUCUGGCUGGCAUCCUCUGACAUCACUCCAGCAGAAGAAAGGGAAGGAACACGCUGCAUUACUGCGUGGUCACAAGGUCCCCGUCUGAUCUGCCUUCACUCCACCUUUCAGAGUCUUAUGUUUGUUUUGUGUAUAUUAUCAAGGGGUUUUAGGUCACUUAGUCGGAAGAAUAGGGAAAAGUAUGUCUACUCCAGCUUAAUGGAAGUGGAAUUCUCCUGAGAACCUUUUUUUGAUACAAAAUAUGUACUUGUGCAUAUUUUGUAUCAAAAUAUAUAAUGUACAUGUCCCUUUUGUACAUGUAUAUAAAUUGUAUAUAAAUAUUUAGGGUUAUAAAAAUAACCAAAGACACCAAAAA
RNAcentral lists this long non-coding RNA (631 nucleotides) under Homo sapiens (human). RNAcentral's name for it is "EOLA1 divergent transcript". The record is from RNAcentral. Lineage: Eukaryota; Metazoa; Chordata; Mammalia; Primates; Hominidae.